UUGUACCUGGUGGCGAGCGGCGGACGGGUGAGUAAUGCCUAGGAAUCUGCCUGGUAGUGGGGGAUAACGCUCGGAAACGGACGCUAAUACCGCAUACGUCCUACGGGAGAAAGCAGGGGACCUUCGGGCCUUGCGCUAUCAGAUGAGCCUAGGUCGGAUUAGCUAGUUGGUGAGGUAAUGGCUCACCAAGGCGACGAUCCGUAACUGGUCUGAGAGGAUGAUCAGUCACACUGGAACUGAGACACGGUCCAGACUCCUACGGGAGGCAGCAGUGGGGAAUAUUGGACAAUGGGCGAAAGCCUGAUCCAGCCAUGCCGCGUGUGUGAAGAAGGUCUUCGGAUUGUAAAGCACUUUAAGUUGGGAGGAAGGGCAKUUACCUAAUACGUAASUGUUUUGACGUUACCGACAGAAUAAGCACCGGCUAACUCUGUGCCAGCAGCCGCGGUAAUACRGAGGGUGCARGCGUUAAUCGGAAUUACUGGGCGUAAAGCGCGCG
This 496-nucleotide ribosomal RNA is filed under the name Pseudomonas mandelii. RNAcentral describes it as "bacterial SSU rRNA". Lineage: Bacteria; Pseudomonadati; Pseudomonadota; Gammaproteobacteria; Pseudomonadales; Pseudomonadaceae. The record is from RNAcentral.